CAAAAAUAAACUGUAUUACUAUGUGACUGAGUAUGGCUUUCAGUUAAGUAUACAUCAUUUCAGCCACAGGAGUCUAUGCAACUAUGUACAGUUUUUCUCUUAAUUACAAAACUAAACUGUACAUGAAACAGAACAUUACAAAUAUGGCACAAACGAGCCAUUUAAAUUUCUGAUAACGCUUAGGACUGUGACUGUUUUUGCUAUUUGGUUAUGAAUACAUCAUUUCUGCCAUGGCAGACAUUUUCUUUGGUAUAUGCAGAUGGUGUUCCAGGUACCCUGCCAGGUCUUCCACAGUCACGUCACUGCCAUAAGCGUGAGCCUCCACAGAACGGGAUGCGGGAGGGCUGCACAGGGCUGUUUCACAGAUGGAUCUGUGAAGCGUGGAUAAGGAAAGGAAAAGUGAGGUUUGGCUGUUGUGUGAGUCAGAGUGAGACGAUGAGGGCAGAGCGAGGCAGUUCUCCCGUGACUUCCCCACAGGCCCCGCAGCGGUGGUUCAGCAGAGGUUCAGCUGUGGCUCUUCUGCCAUGGCUGGCCUCAAAGUGAGGACUGUGUCUGUCCUCUGUGCCGUGUUCUGCUGUAGCACAAACACUGGAACGGACGUGAGUCUUUGGUGUGUGUGACCGGGUUUUGUGUUUUGUGCCGCAGUGCGUAAACGUGGGAGGAUACAGGACAGGAGACCUGGAACGUCCGUGCCGUGAGAGACCGGCCGGUCCUCCUGCAGUCCUCUCACACCUGCAGGGUCAGAACAGGUGAACAGACUGAGACGGCUGUUGGUGUGCAGUCCCUGACAGGAGCAGCGGAAGAGCCUUAAGGAAGCGGGGCUCUCCCAGAAGAGAGAGGCACGCAAACACUGCUGCUGUAAAGGUACUUCCCCGCAGUUCUUCCGUGUUUAAGGGACUGGGCUUUACUGGAG
RNAcentral lists this long non-coding RNA (913 nucleotides) under Gallus gallus (chicken). Its description in RNAcentral is "lncRNA (ENSGALG00010000547.1)". The record is from RNAcentral. Lineage: Eukaryota; Metazoa; Chordata; Aves; Galliformes; Phasianidae.